Molecule: long non-coding RNA, 1799 nt
Filed under: Mytilus galloprovincialis (Mediterranean mussel)
Lineage: Eukaryota; Metazoa; Mollusca; Bivalvia; Mytilida; Mytilidae
Source: RNAcentral
CCAAUUGUUCAAAGAACAAUUGAAGGUCUUUCAACUAAUAAAGAUCUAUUUUGAUAUGAAAAUAUUAAAAUUCAGUUGAAAAUGUCAGUUCCUAUGGCUUUAUGAUAUAAAAAUAUGAAUUUAAAGCAAAGGUCAAAAUCUAGAACGUCCAAUUAACCUAUGACCUUGACCUCAAUUUCAAGGUCAUAAACUAAGGAUCCCAAAUCAAAAGACACUAGGUCAGUAAUAUGUAUGGUUCAUGAGUAAUAUCACUUUACGCAUAAUUCUAAAUAUAAGAGGGGCAAAAACUCCCGUUUAUUGUCUACGCACCCUUGCAACCAAAAUUUAUAAGUUACGACAUGUCGCAACUAACAAUUUAGUAAAAAAUAAUUUGUCGAAUAUCUUAUAAAAGUUAAUGAAAGUAAGUGAAAAAUAAGCCAAAAUCAAAAUUUAGAAUUUGACCUUGACCUUUGACCUUGACCUAAUUUUCAUUUUUUUGGACCAAGGAUCUUAAAUCAAAAGACCCUAGGUCUCUAUCACUUAUGGUUUACCAGUUAGAAAUGCAUAUCACUUAUAUCAUAUAUAAAAGGGGGGAUAACUCUCAUAUGGAGUCUCCGGAUAGCUUCGGUCAAAAUGAAACAGAACAUCCUGAGGAUAUAACGAGCAAUUUGGAAAAAUAAAUUUGUCGGUUUCUUAUACGGUUGCGAAGCCUUAGAGAUAACAAGAAAAACAGUGUUCGGGGAGAUAACUCUUACAAGGUAAAGGUUUUUUGUUACGCGGUGUCAGUUUCAGAAGCGUAUUAACUGUUCGAUAUCAUAUACCAUAUAUCUAAGCGACAUCUUGUGAAACAAAAAAACAGCGAAGGAAAAAAAAGUUGGCGGAAGAAAAAAAAAAAAAAAAUAAUUAAAAACCAAUUGUUCAAAGAACAAUUGAAGGUCUUUCAACCAAUAAAGAUCUAUUUUGAUAUGAAAAUAUUAAAAUUCAGUUGAAAAUGUCAGUUCCUAUGGCUUUAUGAUGUAUAAAUAUGAAUUUAAAGCAAAGGUCAAAAUCUAGAACGUCCAAUUAACCUAUGACCUUGACCUCAAUUUCAAGGUCAUAAACAAAGGAUCUCAAAUCAAAAGACCCUAGGUCUGUAUUAUGUAUGGUUCAUGAGUAAUAUCACUUUACGCAUAAUUCUAAAUAUAAGAGGGGCGAAAACUCCCAUUUAUUGUCUACGCACCCUUGCAACCAAAAUUUAUAAGUUACGACAUGUCGCAACUAACAAUUUAGUAAAAAUAAUUUGUCGAUAUCUUAUAAGGUUAAUGAAAAUAAGUGAAAAUAAGCCAAAAUCAAAAUUUAGAAUUUGACCUUGACCUUUGACCUUGACCUAAUUUUCAUUUUUUUGGACCAAGGAUCUUAAAUCAAAAGACCCUAGGUCUCUAUCACUUAUGGUUUACCAGUUAGAAAUGCAUAUCACUUAUAUCAUAUAUAAAAGGGGGGAUAACUCUCAUAUGGAGUCUCCGGAUAGCUUCGGUCAAAAUGAAACAGAACAUCCUGAGGAUAUAACGAGCAAUUUGGAAAAAUAAAUUUGUCGGUUUCUUAUACGGUUGCGAAGCCUUAGAGAUAACAAGAAAAACAGUGUUCGGGGAGAUAACUCUUACAAGGUAAAGUUUUUUGUUACGCGGUGUCAGUUUCAGAAGCGUAUUAACUGUUCGAUAUCAUAUACCAUAUAUCUAAGCGACAUCUUGCGAAACAAAAAAACAGUGAAGGAAAAAAAAGUUGGCGGAAGAAAAAAAAAAAAUAAAAAUAAUAAUAAUAAUAAUAAUAAUAAUAAUCAGAAC